AUUUAAACAGAAAAUCUGAUUUGGAGUCAUUGAGAGAGAGAGUGAAAAUCUCCCUGAUGACAUUUUUAUAGUAAUUUUUGGGAUGGAACCUCACUCAGUUCACCGCUAGUUUUUCCAGCAGUAAUACUUACAGCUGAAUUAGCAUUGUGAUUUCAACCUCCAUGCUUGCCUUCAGGCAUUAUUAUGUGUUACAUCAUCAUAAUGGUCAGAAACCCAUGCAUCCAUUGUAGGCAGGGGUCCCAUUUAGCAUCUUUUGCUACAGGACUGGAGUGUUCAGCUAGAACCUUUCCAUACUGGACCAUUGAAUAUUGAUGGUGCAGCAUUUAACCCAGCUUCUGACAGAUUAAACCACAAUGUUAUCCUUCUCCUAACACUGCUGAGGGGUUUUGUUGGACUUCUUUCCACUGACCCUUCAUGAGUUCAUGUCUCCAGCUUCUGGGACAGCAGCCAGAAAUAAUAAUGCUCAGCUUAAUAUUGUACAAAAUAAGUUUUUGAGAGGCUAGAGUAGUAAGCAGUAUUGUCCAAGAUUUAGCAGCACAAGACUAAGAAGGACUCCUAAAUUUAUAAUGUUGACAAAACAGCACAUAGGAAGUCCAGUAAUGUUCAGUUUCACUAGGCCUUUGACUGACUAAGUAAUAUAAGUCUUCUUUUUUUCUACUUAGAAGUAGCUACUUUGUUUUGGCUGCCUCUAAUCCUGUGCUUGCAGUUAUAUGGCUGAGAUUUCCACAUCUGAUAGGAGUUUUGAUGAUGUAGCAGAACGUAGUUUCAUUGAUUCCCAAGAGACCAAAUGUGCUAAUUGUAACUCCCAGUGCUUUGCCUCAAUAAAACGAAGCAUCGCACACUUACAAGGGGCCCCCUUUUGUCAGAUACCACUCCUCAGGAGACUUGGGUGCAGAUCAUUUCUUCCUCACUCUCCAUCUUUGUCUCUAUCUCUUCAUGGCCUUUCACUGUCAUGUUGGCAGUGGUAG
Molecule: long non-coding RNA, 968 nt
Filed under: Crocodylus porosus (Australian saltwater crocodile)
Lineage: Eukaryota; Metazoa; Chordata; Crocodylia; Crocodylidae
Description: lncRNA (ENSCPRG00005018160.1)
Source: RNAcentral